RNAcentral lists this ribosomal RNA (253 nucleotides) under uncultured bacterium. Its description in RNAcentral is "partial 16S ribosomal RNA". It matches the Rfam family "Bacterial small subunit ribosomal RNA", at positions 524 to 776 of the family's 1533-position model. The record is from RNAcentral.
UGCGGAGGGUGCAAGCGUUAUCCGGAUUCACUGGGUUUAAAGGGUGCGUAGGUGGGUUGGUAAGUCAGUGGUGAAAUCUCCAGGCUUAACUUGGAAACUGCCAUUGAUACUAUCAAUCUUGAAUACCGUGGAGGUCAGCGGAAUAUGUCAUGUAGCGGUGAAAUGCUUAGAUAUGACAUAGAACACCAAUUGCGAAGGCAGCUUGCUACACAGUAAUUGACGCUGAGGCACGAAAGCGUGGGGAUCAAACAGG